Non-coding RNA from Oryza sativa Japonica Group (Japanese rice), 1543 nucleotides. The record is from RefSeq and is a predicted model, not a curated record. Lineage: Eukaryota; Viridiplantae; Streptophyta; Magnoliopsida; Poales; Poaceae.
AAAAGCGCAUCUAACCUCCGCCCUCCGCCAUCCCCACGCGGCCACGCCGCUCACCCUACCCCGCCGCCGCCUCGGAUCUUUGUUGGGUACAAUAUUUUCAUUUGUUGGGAGGAUAGUAAGGAUCUGAUAAUGGCAAUAUACACCGAAACAGUGCAUUGCGCUCAACAUUUGUGCUCUAUUUACAGAGUUAUAAAGUAAACAAUAGUAGUGAUGCAUCAAUCAUGAAAUUCUCAUAGCUGUAUGGCAUUGCAUUUAUAUAGCAAUCUGGUUAGAUGUGCACUGACAUUAACUUUACUCUUAAUUAUUUACUUGAAUUAGCAAGGUGACUUAAGGUCAUGUAGGUCAAUCCUGUACAUGUAUAUGGGGAUUGUUGUUUGAUGUUUUCUCAUACAUCCAUAUUUCAAUUAUAUGUGGUCUAUGCAAGCUCAUAUGGUUAAUUAAUUCUAACAAUUCUUCCUACUGCCUGGCUGCUCUGAUCUUUUCUUACUACAUCGAGAUACAAUCAGAUCAUGACAUGUCUCUUCUCUUCGUCCAUUGCAAAAAUUUUUUUGUGUGUGUUUGUUAAUCACUUCAUCUUUUUUCAGAUUGUAUUUAUGCUUUUAAUCACUCCAUCUUCUGCCAAAUUUGUAUUGAUGGGUCAGAUGGUGCAUGGAAACAGGACGCGGUUCUAUCCGCCAGUGAGGUGCCUGCCCUGCCAACUACUUAGGAGUGUGCCAGUAUUCUACAUGGUUGUCUCCUCCAUGAUCACUUAGCAGGAAAGUUAUGAGAUCAUGAGGAGUGGCAUGCCUAAGUUGACUCUCUUGAGCUUGAUAUGAUGUCCUGAACAUGCAUGUUCAGGCAUGAAGAUUAACAUCUUGACUUUAGUUCAAUGAUGGGUCAUUGUCAUUGACGAUCACAUGGUCCACAGAGGCCUUGGUGUCUUCGAUCUGCCAUGAUUUCCAACAGGUUAAGCUUUGUCAUCUCAUCUUCUGAAAUCUGAACAUUUUUAUCUCUGCAUUUGUUUCUGAUGGUUUAAACUUGGGUUUGGCACUGGACGAUCUGGUUCUUGAUCAUUUGGUCAUCAUGUACUUCAAAACUUGCACAUUUGGUAUUGAAUGUAGACUCAAAACAGGCUCUAUAUCUAUGUUUGAAACUACCCAGUCCUAAAAAUGCUUGUAAUACAUUACAACUAUCUAAUCCUAAAAAUGCUUGUAGUACAUAAUUUAGAAAUUAAGAUGGUUCUUUUAGUAUAAGGUGAUGUCAUCAGAAUUGCUUCAGGAAGUACUUGCAAAGCUAUUUAUCAAUUCAAUCCUAUGCUUAUUGUAAUCCAACAAUCUUUUGAUCAUCAAAAUGACCCUGGAAAUAUUAUCCUUUUACUAAGUGCUGGGAUUGAAGCAGGCGAUAUAUAUCCUUAACUUUAUAUUGGAUUAUCUCAAUAAGGCCGGCCUACUGCUGGCCUUAUCUUUAGUUGUUUACUACGGCUUGGUUGGAGGUUGGCCAAAUAGAGUUGUUGCUUUCACGAUUAUUAUUAUUAUGCCAUUGCCUUGAAGGUAUGCAUCAUGUA